UGAACGCUGGCGGCAGGCCUAACACAUGCAAGUCGAGCGGAUGACGGGAGCUUGCUCCUUGAUUCAGCGGCGGACGGGUGAGUAAUGCCUAGGAAUCUGCCUGGUAGUGGGGGACAACGUUUCGAAAGGAACGCUAAUACCGCAUACGUCCUACGGGAGAAAGCAGGGGACCUUCGGGCCUUGCGCUAUCAGAUGAGCCUAGGUCGGAUUAGCUUGUUGGUGAGGUAAUGGCUCACCAAGGCGACGAUCCGUAACUGGUCUGAGAGGAUGAUCAGUCACACUGGAACUGAGACACGGUCCAGACUCCUACGGGAGGCAGCAGUGGGGAAUAUUGGACAAUGGGCGCAAGCCUGAUCCAGCCAUACCGCGUGGGUGAAGAAGGCCUUCGGGCUGUAAAGCCCUUUGUUGGGAAAGAAAUCCAGCCGGCUAAUACCUGGUUGGGAUGACGGUACCCAAAGAAUAAGCACCGGCUAACUUCGUGCCAGCAG
Molecule: ribosomal RNA, 488 nt
Filed under: uncultured bacterium
Lineage: Bacteria
Description: bacterial SSU rRNA
Rfam family: Bacterial small subunit ribosomal RNA
Source: RNAcentral